GGAGUUCUGGGCUGUAGUGCGCUAUGCCA
RNAcentral lists this non-coding RNA (29 nucleotides) under Cricetulus griseus (Chinese hamster). Lineage: Eukaryota; Metazoa; Chordata; Mammalia; Rodentia; Cricetidae. The record is from RNAcentral. RNAcentral also lists the same sequence under 1 other name.